AUGAAGGACGCCGCGUUCGUGGUGUCCCAGUUGCCUCCCAUGGCCCCGCCCUGCAGUGGCACCCGGCCGUUGAGCGCGUUGAGCCCGAACACGAUCUUCGCCCUGAAGGCGUUGAGGUCGUCCCAGCGGGGCAUGGGCAGGCAGCCCUGGGUGAAGCCGAACAUCUCCGACUUACUCCUGUUGAACGGCGCGCACGGCCCCGGCCGGUCCGCCGUGCCGUACACCACCUUGUCCUGCAGCGAGCCGCCCAGCCGGAGCACCAGCGGCGAGAAGGCUGCAAGCAAAAGGGGAAUUCCAGCACCGGUGUCGGUGCCUCGGUGGUGA
Molecule: ribosomal RNA, 324 nt
Filed under: Triticum aestivum (bread wheat)
Lineage: Eukaryota; Viridiplantae; Streptophyta; Magnoliopsida; Poales; Poaceae
Description: partial small subunit ribosomal RNA
Source: RNAcentral